Molecule: long non-coding RNA, 4211 nt
Organism: Anolis carolinensis (green anole)
Lineage: Eukaryota; Metazoa; Chordata; Lepidosauria; Squamata; Anolidae
Exons: 2
Source: RefSeq, a predicted model, not a curated record
UUCUUCUUCUUCUUCUUCUUCUUCUUCUUCUUCUUCUUCUUUAUACCCCACUUUAUCUCCCUCGAAGGGAACUCAAAAUGUCUUUGACUCUGCAGUUCUACUCUCAGAUAUGUUUACAUUGUACUGGUUUUGUUAUCUUUUCAUCCCCUGAGGGGUCUGCCUUGGAUUUUGUUUUAAGAUGUAUAGGAGAAAUUGGGGCAAGGGAGCAAAACCAACAAACCCAUAUCAGGUCCAAAGAGUAAACAUUGAAAGGUAUCUCAAGAGUCAGGAAUGCAGAACGCCUAUCUUUUUGCCACAUUCAUGGAGUUCAAUUUUUGCACUCCCACCACCAACUAUGGCUGAGUCUCUCAUUAGACAAACUUGAAGUGGCUGCCUCAGGCAGCAGUCUUGAAGUGAUAUGGUAGAGCAGCAAUUUUUUCCCAACAAUUUCUCAUGAGUGUAUUUUUACUUUUAAACAUAAGGGAUUUCCUGCCUUCUAUGCAAAAAAUAAACCAUCUGGCUUUGGAUAAUAUGCAUGCAGACCUGGGUGGUUAGGAGCAGCAUUUGCUUUUUCUUGGGCAGACAAAUUGUCUUGGGUGAGCCCUGAUCACAGUCUAUAUUUAAAAGAUGCGCAAAUUGUAUCCUAUGACUACUUUGUAAUCCUCCUAGAUAUGAGUAAAAUAGGAGAGCUUAAAUUCUGUGUACAAAGGCUAAUCAAUCCCUAUUAAGAGAUCUUGGGUUUGCAGUCCUACUGAAGACAGCAAAAGACAGACAAGCCUGGCCAUCCAUCACUCACUACUAGGAAUGGGCGGAAGAUAGCCAUUCCUAUAUCUCUAAGCAGAACAGACAACCACAGAGGAAUUUGUCAUUCCACUUGGCAUGCUUUUAUACAUUUAUGCUAUGCUGCGGGUGUUUCCUUUAAUAUGUUUUUUUUUUGCUGUGCUAAAGGAAGCUUGCAGUUCUUGGCCUUAUAAGUACAUUUGCUGAGGCUGUGUGCUUGUAAUUCUAGAAGCAGAACAAGAAUUUCUAAACGUCAGAAGGAAUUUGAUUUUGCAGUGUUCUUAACAGGAGUCAAAAGACAAACAGUAUGUUAGCAUCUUGGAAACUAACUUUUUCAAAGUAACGUGAGAACUCAUAUGCGAUGGACAACUUUUAAUUGCUACAUAUUGCAGGAUGAGAAAGUGUUAUAGAUUCACUAUGGAAAAUUCAGCGCUGUCUGGAUUUUGAAAGAAAGGCUACUAGUUUUGGUUUGAGUCAUAUUCCAGUUCUUAAUCACUGUUAGAGUAGAACCAGAGAUGCAACUGUAAAUCAUUACCUUUGUAAAUCCUUUUGAUCGAAUGGGGUUACUCUCGUAGAGACUACCGGUUUAGGUCAUAAGAUCCUGUUUCAAGCAUGAGUUAUUUUAAAAGCAAAAAUUAUUUUAAAAACAAACCAACCCUAGAUACGUGAACAUUUAAUGUAUGGUCAUAAACUCAUCUUUAAAAAGAUCAGCACAAGCUUAGGGACAAACAUAAAUAGGAGCACAUAUUAGCCAGAGUGUCCAGCUCAUUUCUUCAAGAUCAUGUCCAUACAAUUACUACUACAAAUCCAUAAAACUUCUACAAAGCAACCAACAGUAUUGGAUCAAAUGUGUCAGUAGAUUUACAGUUGGAGGAAUAGUUAUAGACUCACUUUAAUGCCUUGAAACAAUAGUGAGCAGAAGGCAGGACUGGAUGCCCUGGUAAAUUUGUAUGCUUUUACCGUUUUUAAUGGUGUAUGUUUUUAACUACCUUUUAUUUUUAAUAAUUUACAUUAAUUUUCAAUUGUUGCAUAAUGUGAAUUUGUUUCAACUGUACUACAUCUAGUAACAAUAAUGAUGAUGGUAACCAUGCAGGAAGAGUAAUGGACUGGGAAGGGGUUCUCUUUCCAAUCUGGGCUCUAAAAUAGAAGUGAUUUGGGGUCCAAUACCUUGUAUUAGCCAACAUAUAUUCCCUAUAUCAGUGGUUCCCAACCUUUGGGCCUCUAGGUGUUUUGGAUUUCAACUCCUAGAAAUCCCAGCCAGCUUACCAUCUGUUAGGAACUGUGGGAGCUGAAAUCCAGAACACCUGGAGGCCCAAAGGUUGGGAAUCACUGUCCUAUAUGGUUGCAGAAAUGUCCUGGAGGUUUGAUUUCUCAUUCAUAUUUCACAAUGUUUUGUUAGACUUGUGGGAAAAAUGAAACUUGAGAAUGAUGCCUUAUUGAAUGACAACUUUAGAAAUUCUGCAACCAACUUCCCAUGCUGGCUGAUUUCAGAAAAUAAGGGCUUUUUAAUUCUUUAAGCCUAAAGUGUUCGAAUCAUAGAGUUGAAAGAGACCACAAGAGCCAUCAAGUCCAACUUCAAGUCAUGCAGAAAAAACACAAUGAAAGCACUUCUGACAGAUGGCCAUUCAUCCUGUUUUAAAACUUCCAGAAAAGGGGAUCCUACCACAUUUGGGGUCAGUAUAUUCUACUGUUAAACAGCUCUUACCCUCAGGAGGUCCUUUCUAAUAUUCAAGUGGAAUCCCAUGUCCUAGUCUCUACUAGAGCAGCAGAAAAUAAGCCAAUUUCAUCUUGAAUGUGACAUUCUUUCAAAUAUUUAAACAUUGCUAAAAAAUCUCUUCUUAACCUUUUCUUCUCUAAGUGAAACAAACCCAACUCCUUAACCUUGCUUUGACUCAAAAUUAUAGACAUCUUCUACCUCUAGAUGAGAACAGAGCAACCCAAAUUUCAGCCUAUUCAACUGCCUUCGAACACAUAUGAUUUUUUGAAAGAGGCCAGUCCAUGAUAUUCAAUUGUGUGCUUGUCUCCAUUUGUUUAACAAUUUUUAAACACGUCCAGUGAUCACAAAGAGGUUUCCUGGCUUUUCCAACUUUAAGUUCUGGCAGGACGUUCAGUGGAAGGAAAGAUAACAAAUGUGGGAGCAAAAGAAACUUUCUGAAAUGAAGGCUUCACUGACUUGAAUUUAAACAAUGGAAGAAUGGAAGGAAACAGCCUCUAAAGACCAUAGAAGUUGUCAACAGUGCCUGAAGAGUCUUUCUUUGAAAAGAAGUUGGUUCAGUUUUUCACUCCAUGCUCUGACAACCCGCUUCAGAUCAUAAAUGCCCUUUUCAGUUUAUAGACAAAAUGUUCCUUCCCUGGAACAUGACAUCCUGGAGGCUGUUCCAUGUAAAUUUCUACAAGAUGAAAGUAUGAGAAGGUUGAUUUAACAUCUAAGUGUUGAACAUCCAUUUGCUUUGAUGCAGCAAUAUUUAGGAGAGUUCUGAAAGUUGAGUAUAUAAUUUCUGGUGCAACAGUUUUAUUGUAAUCAUCAUCAUACUUGUGGUCAUAGUUUUUUUUAAUCUUUGGAUUACCCCUGUGUGGUAAAGGCCCAUCUAGAGCCAAAUGCCAUUUUAAAUUUGGGUAAUUCUGACCAAGUCGUUGUUUCAUUUUUAUGAAGAUGAAUAUUGUGAUUCUUCACUAAAAGCUUCUCAAUAUCAAACCCUUGGAAUCCCUUGAUAUUUUGCCUUUCCCCUAUGGCUAUAUAACAAAAUCUAUCUGCACAUCUUAACUGGAAUGCUGGGACCUUCUCACCUGAACUGGGAUACCUAGCUUGCUACCUGGUUCCUGAUCAUCUGGGAGGUCCUCUACAUUAGCAGACUAUUGUGGUGCAGUUGUUGUGGGCAUGCUAGUAGGAUGCAAGAUGCCUGGAAGAUGGAAGAGCUCUCCACAUUCUAGUUGGUGAUGGCGGCCUUCCCUUUCCAUUGCAAACCAAUCUGAAUAGCCAUCCUGAUUUGGAUUAGAUUUUCAACGUAGUCUUUCAUCAAUACUUAGCAUAAUGGAUAGAUAUUUUCUCCUUAUUUCUGCAGUCAACUUUUCACCCCUUCAGCUUGGAAAUAUAAAUAUAUGCUUUACAUCCAAAAACAAUGAAAUUACAGAUUAGGUCUGGCUUUUGAUAAGAGGCUGCAUAUCUGGAUUUAGUUGGCAGUGUCUUAUUUAAAUAUGUUGCAGUCAGUAUAGCCUCAGACCAGUAGUGUGCUGGCUUUUAAGAGCAUAGUUACUGCCAUCUCUUUCACAGUCCUAUUCCUCCUCUCUGCUAUAGCAUUCUACUCCAGGCUGUAAUCCUAUGUAGUUUGAUGCUCUAUGGCAUGCUGUUUGAAAAAUGCAUCAGGCUCAGCAAUGUUAAUGUACAGGCUCUUGGGUUUGUAGCCAAAUUUGUUAGAGAUGCAAUUAAAAUAUUAUUUGGAUUUUAAAUACUC